UUAUGCAGGGAAGCAUCUAAAGAUAUAAAACUUCCCCCAAGAACUGCUUCAUCUACAACCCAUAAAUUUUGGUGUUCCAGAACCAGAAAUAAAUUCCUUGAACACUUUGGAUUCUUAGAAUACCUAGAUUCCUUCAUGUCUCAGAGAUUUCCACAACUCCAUUCUCCUGUCCUGACUAUCUGUCUCAGUUCCAAUCUCAGCCAGCCAACUCUUCUCUGAAUUCUUCUUUCUUCAACAUGAAAAGAAUUGGGGCCAGAAGGAAGCUGAAUAAGAAAUGAACUCAUCACCUAGAAAUUCAACACAGGAAGAGAGAAAAAGAAUAAGAGUUCCCAAGAUUGAAGAGAAAUUUUGAAACAGAUGGCAGAGGAAGUGAUUCAGGGAAUUGGGACCCUUGGAAUGUAAAUGCAAAUGUGAGACAGUCCCUGAGUUCAAUGAGCUUAAAUUUGCUAUGGAUGGAAAGUAGGGGAAUACAUCUGGAAAGAUCUCUGGAGGAAAGCUUCACUUGUACUUCAAAAUAAUUAAAGGUAAAUACUCUGUGAAUCUUACAUUUCUAGACUGAU
This is a long non-coding RNA of Sarcophilus harrisii (Tasmanian devil), 560 nucleotides long. RefSeq lists it as uncharacterized. NCBI's taxonomy places the organism in Eukaryota, Metazoa, Chordata, Mammalia, Dasyuromorphia, Dasyuridae. The record is from RefSeq and is a predicted model, not a curated record. The transcript has 5 exons.